RNAcentral lists this non-coding RNA (76 nucleotides) under unclassified sequences. The record is from RNAcentral.
AAACUCUACGUAAAAAAGAUAAAAUCGCCUAGGCUCGUCGAGCCGUCAUCGAUUUUCCUAUUUUCACAUUGAGUUU